AAUGAGGACUAGUAUGAAUGGCACCACGAGGGUUAUACUGUCUCCUCUUUCUAAUCAGUAAAACUAAUCUUCCCGUGAAGAAGCGGGAAUAAAGAUAUAAGACGAGAAGACCCUAUGGAGCUUUAAACCAUGAGACACUUGCACCAACCCAUGUAAAUUUCAGAAGAUAUCUUCUACCCAUGCAAGAUGAUCACCAGUUUUAGGUUGGGGUGACCGCGGAGCAAAAAACAACCUCCACAUUGAAAGGAGUCUAACUCCUUAGCUUAGAGCCACACCUCCAUGCACCAAUACAAUGACAUCAAUUGACCCAAUAUUUUGAUCAACGAACCAAGUUACCCUAGGGAUAACAGCGCAAUCCAUUUCAAGAGCUCCUAUCGACAAG
Molecule: ribosomal RNA, 382 nt
Filed under: Vitreorana eurygnatha (Rio glass frog)
Lineage: Eukaryota; Metazoa; Chordata; Amphibia; Anura; Centrolenidae
Description: partial 16S ribosomal RNA
Rfam family: Bacterial large subunit ribosomal RNA
Source: RNAcentral